Molecule: long non-coding RNA, 1825 nt
Filed under: Homo sapiens (human)
Lineage: Eukaryota; Metazoa; Chordata; Mammalia; Primates; Hominidae
Description: HSALNT0017935
Source: RNAcentral
GUCUGCAGGCUCAGAAGUCCAAGAUCAAGGAGCUGGCAUUGGAUGAGGGACUUCUUGCUGCAUCAUCCCAUGACAGAAGGACAAAGAAAGGGAGGGAGAGAGACAAAGAGAGAAAUAUGAGCUCCUCCAGGGCCCAGACCUCUUUCCUGUAACAAGGCUCAGAAGUACACUAUUGUGAUGAAACUUAGUAAAACUGCCUACAUGGAAUUACACUGGAAGCCCUGUAGUAAGUGGACUAUGACCAACCAAAGCUGGAAUGGAGAUGUUUGAGAGGGACUCACUUCCUGCGUCAUCAAACCCCAUGGGCUGAGGAACUUUUGUCUAGGCUGCCACAGAAGCCUUCCCUGUUAUGUCCUGUGUGUGACUGCUUGUUCCCAUCUUCAGUGCCCUCCCUCUCCUCUUCAGGAAGAAGUUCCAGGCAGGCGGUACCUCACUGAGGCCGUGCAUGAAGCCUUGACACCCCUCCCUCCCUUGGUCUUGAGCCUGUUAGAAGAAUGCUGAGGUUUUGGGCCUCCACCCGGAGGUACCCAGCAGUAACUUCAAGGAGCUAAUGAGUAAAGCACAGUAAUGAGAAUAAAUCCCAAUGAGCUUAUUAAAAUAACUGAACCACAACUUUGGCAAGGGCAGGAACCAUUGUCUGGAACUUGUUUGUCCAUUUGCAGAGUAUUGUAGCAUGCCUUUGUAUAUCCCCUCACCCUUUCAGAACAGAGAGAUUAGCAACAAAAGACAGAUUUUUCAAAGCUACACACAGCCGUGAUUUAUAUCCCGCUCUAGAGACUGUUGGGAUGGCUUCUUUGGAUUGAAAAGGGUACCAGCCGAUCUCUGUUUUAAUGGGCCACCUGGGACUUUAGCUGUAGUGUGUGUGUAAAGCAGAAGAACUCUGAUCCAACCUCCAUCUUUUUUGGAAAGGCUUCUUUGUAAUUGCUUUGGACUUUGUGAAAUUCUUCUCUCAACAAAAGUAAAAAAUGGUUUCAAGUGCUAUAACCAUUUUAUCCUGGGAGUAUGUAUAACCAACAACAUGAAAUCCCCAGGUUGCCUUUUUUCAUUGCUGGGGUAAAGAUAAUGUUUGCAGAGCAUCUCCCAGGGUUAAGGUACUUUUGGGAACUUUAGAUAAUUAAUAUUCUUGGAGGACUUGCAUCCUUAGGAGAAGGGGGCUGCAGUUGCGUAGUCUCUAACUGGUUAGUUCCAUACAAGUUCCAUGUUAAUUACACCAAGGUUAGAGGGUGAAAAAUCACAGACAAAAAUUACAAGUGAAAAUACCACCUUGCAGAAGUGUUUGGUGUUAUCUACUGUGGUUGAAUACAUGCUCAUACUAUGACCCAACAUUCGUACUUCUGAGUGUGUACCCAACAGAAUUGCACCAAAAGAUGUGUACAAGAAUGUUCACAGCAGCAUUAUUCAUAAUAGCCAAAUCCCAGAAACUACACAAAUGACCAUUGAUAGUAGAAACAAUAAACAAAUUAUGGCAUUUUUACACAAUGGAAUAAUAUAGAGCAGUUAGAAUAAAGGAUCUGCAGCUAAAUACAAUGGCAUGGAUAAAUCUCAACAAAUAUUGUUGAGCAAAAGAAGCCAAGCACAAAAAAUUUCACACUGUAGGAUCCCAUUUAUAUAAAGUCCAAAAACAGGCUAAACUAGUCUAUGGUGUUAGAAGUCAGGAGAGUUUUUACUCUUGGGAGAGGUGCAGUUCCUAGAAAAGAGCACAAGGGAGGCUCCUGGGGUAGUGAUUAGAGAGGUUCAGUUUGUGUGUUCAACUUGUGAAAAUUCACUGAGCUGUGCACUUAUGUGCACUUUUUGCAUAUAUAUUAUAAUAUGAUUAAAAGGUAAA